This 255-nucleotide ribosomal RNA is filed under the name Triticum aestivum (bread wheat). Its description in RNAcentral is "partial small subunit ribosomal RNA". The record is from RNAcentral. Lineage: Eukaryota; Viridiplantae; Streptophyta; Magnoliopsida; Poales; Poaceae.
AUGUGUGUCCCAAAGGAUAGAGGUGGCAUGGAUUUUCGUGAUAUGCACAGUUUUAAUCUGGCAAUGCUUGCUAAACAAUGUUGGAGGCUCAUUGAGCAUCAUGAUUGUGUAAGAGUGCUUCGAUCAAAGUACUCCCCCUCUGAUGAGUUGCUCAAUUGUGAGUUAAAAAAGGGUUCAUCUUAUGUCUAGCAGAGCAUUUGGCUGGAGUUCAUACCUUUUAAAGAGGGAGUACUUGGGGAAUUGGUAAUGGCUUGA